CGAUACUGGCGAAUCCUGGAGACGGGGAAUUGCUUUCCAUGUACGGAAAGCUAAUUUGGGAGACUCAGAGAGACGAGGACAGAGCAAAGUCUUACUUCGAUCAGGCCGUUUCUGCUUCUCCUGAUGACUGCGUUGUUUUGGGGUCGUAUGCUCAUUUCAUGUGGGAAGCAGAGGAAAACGACGACGACGAAGAAAUCAGCGAUGGGUCUGAAAUGAUGUCGUCCCCUGCCUUGGUCCCUGCGUUUUAGCGCCAAAAAAGUGCCGUUAAUACUUGCUUGUAUGUCGCAUGAUCGUUACUAACUUUAAGGACAAGAAUAAAUCAACAACAACAGGUUACUACGCUACUCAGACCGAAAUCUAAUCUCAUCCUUUGUAACAUAGGAGAUCAGACUCUGUAUUUUGUCCCUUUUUUUUUUUUUUUUUUUUCUCUCUUGUAAAUUUAUAAUGUAUUGUAGAUCAUGCAAUCUGAACGUUGUUUCCAUUUAA
Morus notabilis is the source of this 486-nucleotide long non-coding RNA. RefSeq lists it as uncharacterized. The record is from RefSeq and is a predicted model, not a curated record. Lineage: Eukaryota; Viridiplantae; Streptophyta; Magnoliopsida; Rosales; Moraceae. The transcript has 2 exons.